GGUGAUAUAGCUCAACUGAUAGAGUGCUUGCCUCCUGUGCACAAAGUCCUGGGUUCAGUCCCCAGCGCCACCA
RNAcentral lists this transfer RNA (73 nucleotides) under Ictidomys tridecemlineatus (thirteen-lined ground squirrel). RNAcentral's name for it is "Spermophilus tridecemlineatus (thirteen-lined ground squirrel) tRNA". It matches the Rfam family "tRNA". Rfam says of the family: Transfer RNA (tRNA) molecules are approximately 80 nucleotides in length. Their secondary structure includes four short double-helical elements and three loops (D, anti-codon, and T loops). The record is from Rfam by way of RNAcentral. Lineage: Eukaryota; Metazoa; Chordata; Mammalia; Rodentia; Sciuridae.